RNAcentral lists this ribosomal RNA (492 nucleotides) under uncultured bacterium. Its description in RNAcentral is "partial 16S ribosomal RNA". It matches the Rfam family "Bacterial small subunit ribosomal RNA", at positions 29 to 507 of the family's 1533-position model. The record is from RNAcentral.
AGUGAACGCUGGCGGUAGGCCUAACACAUGCAAGUCGAACGGCAGCACAGUAAGAGCUUGCUCUUACGGGUGGCGAGUGGCGGACGGGUGAGGAAUACAUCGGAAUCUACUUUUUCGUGGGGGAUAACGUAGGGAAACUUACGCUAAUACCGCAUACGACAUACGGGUGAAAGCAGGGGAUCUUCGUACCUUGCGCGAUUGAAUGAGCCGAUGUCGGAUUAGCUAGUUGGCGGGGUAAAGGCCCACCAAGGCGACGAUCCGUAGCUGGUCUGAGAGGAUGAUCAGCCACACUGGAACUGAGACACGGUCCAGACUCCUACGGGAGGAAGCAGUGGGGAAUAUUGGACAAUGGGCGCAAGCCUGAUCCAGCCAGACCGCGUGGGUGAAGAAGGCCUUCGGGUGGUAAAGCCCUUUUGUUGGGAAAGAAAAGCAGCAGGUUAAUACCCCGCUGUUCUGACGGUACCCAAAGAAUAAGCACCGGCUAACUUCGUG